GUCCCUGUAGCUUAAUGGGAUAGAACGUAGUACUUAUAAUGCGGAAGUCGAGAGUUCGAGCCUCUCCAGGGACA
Taenia asiatica is the source of this 74-nucleotide non-coding RNA. Lineage: Eukaryota; Metazoa; Platyhelminthes; Cestoda; Cyclophyllidea; Taeniidae. The record is from Rfam.